UGGGGAAUUUUGGACAAUGGGCGAAAGCCUGAUCCAGCAAUGCCGCGUGUGUGAAGAAGGCCUUCGGGUUGUAAAGCACUUUUGUCCGGAAAGAAAUCCUUGGCUCUAAUACAGUCGGGGGAUGACGGUACCGGAAGAAUAAGCACCGGCUAACUACGUGCCAGCAGCCGCGGUAAUACGUAGGGUGCAAGCGUUAAUCGGAAUUACUGGGCGUAAAGCGUGCGCAGGCGGUUUGCUAAGACCGAUGUGAAAUCCCCGGGCUCAACCUGGGAACUGCAUUGGUGACUGGCAGACUAGAGUAUGGCAGAGGGGGGUAGAAUUCCACGUGUAGCAGUGAAAUGCGUAGAGAUGUGGAGGAAUACCGAUGGCGAAGGCAGCCCCCUGGGCCAAUACUGACGCUCAUGCACGAAAAGCGUGGGGAGCAAAACAGGAUUAGAUACCCUGGUAGUCCACGCCCUAAAACGAUGUCAACUAGUUGUUGGGGAUUCAUUUCCUUAGUAACGUAGCUAACGCGUGAAGUUGACCGCCUGGGGGAGUACGGUCGCAAGAUUAAAACUUAAAUGAAUUGACGGGGUCAUAGCUGUUUCCU
RNAcentral lists this ribosomal RNA (589 nucleotides) under uncultured bacterium. RNAcentral describes it as "partial 16S ribosomal RNA". It matches the Rfam family "Bacterial small subunit ribosomal RNA", at positions 355 to 1375 of the family's 1533-position model. The record is from RNAcentral.